This 427-nucleotide long non-coding RNA is filed under the name Sinocyclocheilus grahami. Its description in RNAcentral is "lncRNA (ENSSGRG00000022219.1)". The record is from RNAcentral. Lineage: Eukaryota; Metazoa; Chordata; Actinopteri; Cypriniformes; Cyprinidae.
CAUGAAGACGCUAGUGUGUGCUCUUAUUGUGGUGCUUCUCUGCAGUGCCUCAGUGCACUCGCUGACAUGCUACACCUGUGUGGAUGGGGACUGCAAGACCCCAACUCAAUGCCCAGCCUCAAGCAACUUCUGCAAAACAGUUUCAACAGCCACUGUGUUCAGCCGGACAUGUGAGGAGUUCUGUGUUCCAGGAGUGAACGUCUACUGCUGCACUUCUGAUCUGUGUGACUGAUCUCUCAACGUCAUCGAGUCAUCGAAUCAGUCACUAAUGUUCACUGUAAUAGCAUAGCACAAAAAAUAUCCCUGGGUUACUCUAGGUGUUUAAUUUCUCUAAUGACCUUUUCCCAACUGAAUCAACAUGGUUUGCUUUAUAUAGCACUGCUUAAAGGAAUGCCUAAUAAGCUUGGUUUCUGUCCCAGCUCUGUAU